GACGAACGCUGGCGGCGUGCUUAACACAUGCAAGUCGAACGGAAAGGCCCUGCUUGCAGGGUACUCGAGUGGCGAACGGGUGAGUAACACGUGGGUGAUCUGCCCUGCACUUCGGGAUAAGCCUGGGAAACUGGGUCUAAUACAGGAUAGGAGCCAUUUUUAGUGUGAUGGUUGGAAAGUUUUUUCGGUGUAGGAUGAGCUCGCGGCCUAUCAGCUUGUUGGUGGGGUAAUGGCCUACCAAGGCGGCGACGGGUAGCCGGCCUGAGAGGGUGGACGGCCACAUUGGGACUGAGAUACGGCCCAGACUCCUACGGGAGGCAGCAGUGGGGAAUAUUGCACAAUGGGCGCAAGCCUGAUGCAGCGACGCCGCGUGGGGGAUGACGGCCUUCGGGUUGUAAACUCCUUUCGCUAGGGACGAAGCUUUUUGUGACGGUACCUAGAUAAGAAGCACCGGCUAACUACGUG
Molecule: ribosomal RNA, 465 nt
Filed under: uncultured bacterium
Lineage: Bacteria
Description: partial 16S ribosomal RNA
Rfam family: Bacterial small subunit ribosomal RNA
Source: RNAcentral